This is a long non-coding RNA of Cavia porcellus (domestic guinea pig), 10069 nucleotides long. RefSeq lists it as uncharacterized. The transcript has 2 exons. NCBI's taxonomy places the organism in Eukaryota, Metazoa, Chordata, Mammalia, Rodentia, Caviidae. The record is from RefSeq and is a predicted model, not a curated record.
GGUCGGAAUUGACUCGGCGUAGCCCGGAAGUCCCGCCUCAUGGACGCGCGCGUAUUGACGCAAUCUGGCAAGGGCCCAAUGAGAAACGCUGCUGCGCUCGAAGGGGUUUCGAAGGUCGUCCGAGCCUCAGCCACAGAGGCUUCAGUUUGGGACUGACGUUGUGAGACUCUCCUGCUGAAGGAUCUCUGCAGGACAGACCCUCCAGGCCGUCUUGGAGUUUGAAUUGGACAUUGUCUCUGAGUAAUCUCUCAUCCUGCUAUGGUGAGCCACAGUCCUGAACUGCAACACUUUGUGAACAAUAGACAUUGAUAGAUGUUUAACUAUGAAACUAGUUCAGUUUAGCUCUCUUACUCCUCUGAGCUUUCUUGAAAGACUGGUUAUGAGACGUUACGUUGGGAAACAUUUGAAGGGAGAAUUUCAGCAUUUUACAAUCAGCCUUGGUAAUUUAUUUAUACUUACUAGGUGCAAAGGUUUCCCAUCCUGUGCAUUUAUUGUGCUGAGCAGGAUAACUGCUUAUGUUUAUGCACAUGUGGCAUGAGAGAAUAUUUAGGAAGUCUCAAGUGUCAAAGAAACAGACUACAUGAGAAAGAAGAAUAAAGAUUGUUUUUCUCAUCACCUCAUAAAAUGUUUGGCCAGGCAUGGUGGCACACACCUGUAAUCCAAGAAGGCAGGUGGAUAGCGAUGAGUUUAUGGCCAGCCUAAACUACAAAGUGAGUUCAAGACCAGCCUGAACUGCGUAGUGAAACCCUGUCUUAAAAGACAAGAACAAACAAAAUUGUUAUGGAUGUUAUCUCUUCAUAAAAAUAAUUGUAAAGGUUUGAUUUCCUGAAAUAUAAAGUAACAACAGAUACAUUUUAUCGUCUGUGGUCAUAUCAAAACAGAAAUAUAGCCAUAACUGAGUAAGUUUGAUUAAUGUCCCCAUCAUAUUUUCAAAAGGACCAAAACUAGAAGAAAAAAUGACAAACAGCAAGGUAAAGAAAAUUCAAAACAUUAUGAUAAUGUGAAUAGAUUUAACCAAGUAGAUGAAGAAAAUACUUAAAGCCUAAUUAAUGUAAUGUGUGUUUGCUGUAUUAAUUGAGAAGAUUUAGUUUUGCCACAAAACAAUGAAAUGAAUGCAUCCCUCAUGAUGUGUUAGGUACAGAUAAUGAAUGAUUGAGCAGCUUGAGGUGUACAGGUAGUGUUCAUAAGACUUGCUGCACAUGAACACAAAGGGUAAUCUGAAACAUGUGCUAACACUGGGUAGGCUAAAUUAAAUCCCAACAAUUUUUAUAACCAAAAAAGAAGCAAAAAUCUGUUUUAGAAUAUACCAAGUAUCCAUGAACUGUGUACUGUUUUAAAAUAAUUACUAUUAUUAUAGUUGAACAUGGGCAUGAUGGCACAUGCCUAUAAUCACAGAGCCUGGAAGGCUGAGGCAGAAAAAUUACUGUGAGUUACAAGUCAACCUGGGCUACACAGUGAGUUCAAGAUCAGCUUGAACUAGCAAGACCUUGUCUCAAAACAAAUUACUAUAAAGAAAGUCACUAUUCUAUAGCUUUGAUUUGUAAGAAUACUAAAAAAAGAACUUUUUUAUUACAAUCUACCAUAAAAUUGAUUUUGUUAUACAUAAUCUGUACAACAUAGGGCAUGUUAUUAUAGCCAGUGCAAAUACGAUUACUUACACUCCAAAAAACUUGAAAAGGCAAUCCUGGUAUGUACUCUCAAAGACGACAGAGUCAUAUUUGGCUAACUUGCUAAAUCUGAUUCAGAUUAUGAAUAACCACAUUUGAAAGAGAUUCCUGGUGUUUCUGUUCAUUGCCAGCUGUCCAGAAUCCUCUGGGCAUUUAUAUCAGAUGACUUACAAGUGAGGCAGAAUUAAUGUUUAUUGACCAUGGUUAUUCAGAAUUCCCUCCGAUUGGUAUUAGCUCCACUGUUUCUCCUCCCAUCCAUUUAUAGAUAAAACAUACAGUAAACCAAAGCAUGUUCAUUCUGGUAAAAUUUGAAAGAGGAAAACAGUUUUGGCCAGUGGCCACAUAAGCUGGAAAAAAUUGGCACACUUCUCAUUUUUGAUAGAAACUGAAUUGCAACUUUAAAUUCCCAACUGUAAUUGUUUUGCCAUUCAUCUAAAGUCUGAAACAAAUUACAGUUUUAUAUUUGUAACAUUUUACCCAGAAAAACUGGGAAUUGUAUUAUAAAAGCUAUUCAUAUCUAAAUUUACAUUGGUAGUUUCUGGAAAUAUGUUAUAUUCAUACUAAAGGAAAAGAGUAGAUAACGCACAUACAUGCUCACACACACACACACACACACACACACAAAUAUAUAUAAUAUGUAUUUCAGAAAAAAUUUUGUUAAAAUACAUAGAAAGAUUACCUUCAUAUUUAUAAUAUUGGAUGACCUGGACUUUCAGUGUACAAACAUGAAACAAACUUUUUCAUGCUACCCUUUCUGUGGCACUCUGCUACCCUGUCCCAGGAUGAAAAUGUAAGCAACAUUUUAUGUUUUUUCUGAUCAUUCUCAAAUAUCAGAAAGAAUUACUCGGCUAUUUUAGUCUGCAUUUUAGAGUCAAAAUAUGAUGUCAGAAUUUCAUUCUGGUUAUAGAUUUCUGGCAUCUUUCGCUACUCUUUCUCCAGUUGUGUUGCAACAUGAUGUGAGUGGCCUCGGGGACAGAGACAGGAGGAAGAGCAUGUUGCUUCUUUUUCUGUGGGUUGCUCCAGCUCCACUGAUCAGCUGCUGCCUUUACAUAGGUCUGGAGUUUGAGGAAGGAGAGGAUCAAAUGGAAGCAGGUUAAGAGAAAAGUCUUAACUAAAUUUGUACUGUCUUCAUGGCUAAACAUUGGAACUUUGUGGGCUCAGUAGAUGUUUAAAGUCAACUCUUACUCCUGAGCAUUCUCAGAGCUUCUUCCCUGACCUACUCCCCUCAGCCUGAGAAGAGAUAACGCAUCUCUGGUCCUACCAGACCUUCAUUUAUUUGGCUUCUUUCUACAAAGACUGUUCCCCACACACAGCACAACCUCAGAAGAUCCCAUGCUGGCUUUGUUAAGCAUCUGGCCCACAUUUGGUACAUUGGAAAGGCACAUUAUUUGCCCACAGACUCUGGGAAUGAUGUUUUACUGCUGGAAUUCAGGAAAACCAGAAAUCCUAUUAUGCAGUGUCCACUGUAAACACCCUCAUUACCCUGUCUUAUCCCUUCCCUCUGAACAACCAAUAACCAUCCUGGUACUUUCCAUUUUCCAGAUGUGAAGUAAACACUCCCACAUCCCUCAGUGCUUAAGUUCUCCCAACUUUCUCCCCUCUGCAGAGGGAUGGGGGUGUCAUCUCUUCCUCCAUGAGCAGGAAGGUGAGCUAACAGCACAAUAGUGACCCCCAGAAGUACCUUCUCUGACCUCUAUUUCUCAACCAUUUUAAACUUUCAAAACAGCUAAAGUGGUGUAUAUCCUUGCAAAUAAUUUUCCUCUAUUUUUCAUGCAAGUCCUACCAAAUGAUCUGUAUCCCCACUUUUAAAUAUUGUGCUUACUCUUAAGAUCCUUCCACAGUAAAUUCUGUGGUGUAUUGAAGUGAAAUGUUUCAUAUGUAUAUAUAAAACUAUUUUGAGAUAAUUGUAGAUUCUCAUACAGUUAUAAAAUACAGAGCGAUCCCAUGAGUCCUUUAGUCAAUUUUCUGUAUGAUAAUGGCUUGCAAAACUCUAGUACAAUGUCACUACCAGGAUGUUGACAUUGAUAGAGUAUUUCCAUCACCAAAAGAAUACCAAAAUUUCCUCCUUCUCUUUCCCUCUUCUUGUCACCUAACAACACCUAAUCCUUUCUCCAUAUUUAUAAUUAUGUAAUUUCAAAAAAUGUAGUGUAAAUGGAAUAAUACAAUAGUCUUUGGGAGUUAUCUUUUUUAUGCUCAGUAUGUUUCUCUGGAGAUUUACCCAGAUUGUUGCAUAUAUUGGUAGUUCAUUCUUUCCUUGAAGUUAAGCAUUAUUUCUUAGUAUGGAUUUGCCAGUUUUUGGUAUGACCUAUGUGGCUCUUGAACUUUUUAGGGUGAAGGACCAUGAGAAGAUGAGACAUUUUUUAAAAAGAUGAAAGUUGGAAUCAGACUGAGCCCUUACUCUCUGGAUGAGAGGAAAGAAAUUACCCCCUCACUAAGGGCAUUUAUUUAUACACAUUGUUACGUGGCACCUCUUUGCCUAGCAACCCAUUGCUUGGAUUGUCCAGGGGCUUGGUGCUUCUCUGAGCUGAAGCAACUUCUUCACAUGGCUUGCCCCAGGCGCUCAUUGUUCUUGGGAUGGUCAUGCCCCGGCCCUGCAUAAUCAAUUUCUAGCUUCCACAGCUCCCUACAAGUUUUUCUAGACAUCCAGUUUUAAUACUGUGAAUAAAGCUAUUAUAAGUAUUCAUUUAUAGGUAUGUGAAUAUAGGUCUUCAUUCCUUUAGACUAGACAGCCAGGGUCAUAUAGUAAUUGUGUGUAAUUUUUAAAGAAACUGCCAUACUGUUUUAAAGAGCACCUAUAUCACGAUAUAUUUUCCCCAACAAUGCAUAAGUAAUCUAUGUUCUCUGCAUCUUUGGCAGUAUUUAGUAUCGUCUUGUGCAAGUAAGCAUAUGAGAGAAAGAGAGAGAGAGAAAAACAGAGAGACAGAGACAAGAGACACAGGGAUAAACAGCUGAGCUCAAGGCCUUUGUACUGAGCUACAUCCCCAGUCCUUAUUUUGAGAUAGUCUCACUGACACGAGGUCACUAAGUUGUCCAGACUGGGCUCAAACUUGUGAUCUUCCUGGCUUGGCACCCCCAGAGUACAUAUCUCUAUUUUGAAUGUACCCCUUCUGAUUAAAGUGACAUCUUAUUUUGGCUCUAAUUUGCAUUUCCCUAGUGAAUAAUGAUAGCAUACAUCAUCUCAUAUGUUUGUUUGUCCUUGCUAUAUCUUUUAUUUGUAGAAUGUCUCUUUAAUGUCUUUUGCUCAUUUUUUAACAGAAUUAUUUGGAUGUGCUUUUACUAUUCAGUUUUGAGAUUAAAAAAAAAUAAUUCAGGUUAGAUAUAUUUAAGAGUAAUAGAGGCUUGAAUUAUAUUGGUUUAAAUACAUGUGAUGAGUGGACAAGUGGUGGUUGACUUGUAACAUACAGCUGCACUGAAUCAGGUGGGUGUGGAAGACCCACCUGAGAAUUGUUGCCAACAGCAAAAAAAAAAAAAGGAGACCUGGAAAGGAAGAGGUGGUUCCAUUGGUUCUUUAGAGGAGAUUGUCGUGCUGGCUUUCCUGACAUGAACUUGGCUGUUUUCAUCACUGGAAGAGCUCAGGAUCUUGUUGUCACUGAGAAUGGCUGUGGUGCACUUUGUGGUCUACUUUGAACCAGAGCUCCUUUGCCCUAUAAGGGAAGAUAGUGUGCUGCUCAACCUCCCUGUCACCUGGCUUUCAUGAUAUGAACUUGGCUGUUAUCAUCGGAGGAGCUUGGAACUUCACUGUCACUAAGAUGACUGUGGUGUUUUCAGGGGAGCUCUGGUCCUUACCUUCCGCAUUGCCUUCGGGCUAUAGUGCAGAACCCUCAGCCUACUGGCACAGAUCCUUCAUCCUGCUGGCCCAGACCUUCUGGCUUUCACCACUGACCUUUGGGCCUUCCCAAAGCAGACCUGUGAAACAGACUUGCAUGAGACGUUGCCAUGGGCUUUAGGCCUCUAGUUGGACUCAUAGCGGGCACUGUCAUGGGCUCUAGGUCUUUAGCUGGACUCAUGCAGGGCAUUGUCAUGGGAUUCUUUGGGUCUUUACUGUGUGGAAAGAUUUCCUGCACUUUUUAGUAUUUGACUCUUUGGGUAACUACUAUAAAAUAAGCCUAUAAAUUAUAUGCUCUGUAUUAAAUUAUUUUCCUUGCAAUCCCUGACUACAAAAAUACCAGAGAAUUUAUUCUCCGAUAUGCAUUUUUUUUUUUUUUUUUUUUUUGGUACCGGGGAUAGACCCAGUAUCCCGAACUUGCACUUGCCAAGCAGUCGCUUAUGCCACUGAGCUAAAUCCCCAGCCUAUUUCCCUAUAUGAAAAUCUCAUUACUCAGCAUUUCAGGGGGCUCACUGCAGUGUCCAGAAACACAGACCCUUUUCUUCUCCAAGAUUGUUCUAAUUUUUUAUCACCUAACUUAAUAUGUGAAAUAAGACAACUUCAAAGUUAAUGUGACCUGAAUAUACUUUUCUUUCCAAGUUAUUUUAUAUUGUAAUCAUCAUCCUAUAAUGAUUUGAUUAGUUCUAUAAUAUGCAAUAUGUAUUUAAUGUGCGUGAAGAUGGGGACAACUAUUUGUAAAAAACUAGAGACAAUUAGAUAAACAGUGAAGAUCUCCAGUGGACUUGCUUUGAAAUCUGUAUUUCUUUAAAAUGUUUUUUUAACUGUUUUGUUCUAUUUUGAUGUUUAAUCUUACCUUCUGAGAUAUAAAACAAGUGUGUAGGACUGAUAACCAUAUUACUGAGUUUUUGUUCGAUCAUUGAGCAGAACUGUUUGCAGUGUCACUUUUUGAAUGUCAUUUUACAUACUUUAAUUUUGUAACCUGAACAGCUAUUUCUAAGAUGACAAUAUGUAACUUAUCAACUAGCGAUUUCUUACCGUUUAUUUUUCUGUAAUCUUGUAUUAUUUCUACCCUUUUUUAUCUCCAUGUAUUUUUUUGUUUCCUUUUCUUUAAAUAAAAAAAAAAAUUUCCUGAGGACUCUAACAGCAACUAAAAGUUGUGCUCAGAUGAAAUAAAAUGCCCCCUUUCAAUUUAUCAUUUUCACCCAGCUCAGAAAUAAUGGGAUAAUUAACUUUAUUAGUCUCUUUUUAUUCUAUAUAUCCUGAUAUUUGACAAGUAUAUAUUAUAAUGCAUACAGAAUAGUUUUAUGGUCUACCUAUUUUAUAAAUAUUCCCUAUGGGCUUUAUAAAAUAAACAGCAAUACACAACAUAUACAUAGCACUUUCUAUUGGCCAUAAAUUGAGUCCAAGGCCCAAAGGUCACACUACAAGUAGAAAAAAAAAACAUUCAGAGCCAAGAUCUCUGUGACUCUCAAUUCUGUGCUUUUACCACACGGCUGACUUUCUCUGAUAAGGUCACUUUUUUAAAAAAACUAAUAUCUAUCACUUCUGUUUUUCUAAUUACCUUUAGCUUCCAGGUGACUGCCAGAGCUCCAGUUAUUACAAUUGUAUUCCAGACAGAAACAAGAGGGAAAGAAACAGGACAAAUAGGAAAUAGGAGAAUUCUUUGAAGUCUUACUUAGCGUAUCUUCUUACUUCAUUGUUCGAUGGAGAAGUGAUAAAAAAACUAUUGUAAUUGCAAGUCAGGCCUUCUUUCCGUAUCACUUAUGAUCUUUGACAACUCAUGGCCAUAUACUCUUUUCUUCCUUCUUCAAAUACAAAUAAAUUAUAUAUACAUUUCUAUAGUCAUUAUACAACAUUUUAAAGGGUUCAGAAAUGUAAAUAUAGCCAGUGAAAAUUUCCCUACUUGAAUUUUCCAGAAAUAACCAUGCAAAUUUAAAUUCAAGUAGUAGCUGAGGAAAGAGAAAGAGGACUAGUAGAAAAGAACAAAAAAAAAAAGAAGAUAAGAAACCUAAAUUGUGAAAAAAAAGAACAAGGAGAACAUAAAAGAAAAACAGAGGAAAAAAGAAAAACCCCAAAGAGAAAAUAACCACAAAAUACUAAACAAAACAAGAGGACAUCCAACCAGACAGGAAAAGGAUAGUCAGUCAGACAAACAAGGGAAAACAAAAGUAGUAAAAUAGCUCUGAUGUUUAGAGUUCUGUGGUAGUGUCCGUGUCAGAUCCCAGAAAUGUGCUGCUUGCCAUGAGGUCCAGUUUGCCGUGGGGACCGAGCUGGGUGUGGAGCUGGUCUUGGGCUCUACAUGCGGGGGCUGGGACUGGUCUUCUGUCGGAGGAGAUCUCCAGAGCCUAACUGCUGGCUCCUCGAGCUUCAGAGGCUCCCAGGUUGCUCAUCUUGCUGAUCACUUCAUCCUCAAAAGGCAUGUGUGCACCAGUCUGCAUGGGGUGAGCUGUCCUGGGUGCUGGUGUUCCCGUCACUCUGCCCACCAAAGGCACGUGUCAGGGAUUUUUCUUUUAGUAUUUAGCUAUUAAUAGAUUCACUAUUUUUAAUGAUGCUAAUUAAUUAAAGGAACAAAAAACUGCAUUCUGGUAUCUGAUUCAUUCAAUGCAUGCUACAUAGUCAUGUCUUUUAUUCAUGUUGUACAAAUGAAGUACACAGAUUUAAUGUGGAGUAAAAUAUGCCUCAAUCACAAGUUUAUUUUCACUGCAGAAUGAUGGUAAUGAUGCCAUUAUUGUAUUUCAGCAAGCUCCAAAAACUAAACUUGUAUCAUCGGCUUCACUAGUAAUUGUAUGACUUCUCCUGUACAAGUCCAGACAUGUCUUCACGGCUUUUUUUCUUGUUUUAUAAAAAGGACAUAACACAAGCUUACCUCACUAAGAUGCUAUGUAAAAUAUUUUCUAUUUAUUACCAAGUACUGUAUGAUUUUUAUGUCUAUAUUGGUGUGGAACAACACAUUCAUGACAUGGUGGUAUCAAAAGACUUUGUGCCAUGAAAAAUGCUACAUUCUUGGAGACACUUUUAGAAGGGUUACACCAUGUAAGUCAGAUUGACUUUUGAUAUUGUGUUGCACUUAACUCCAGAAAUAAAUUUAGAACUUAGUUAAGCUGUAAAAUUGUUCCAAAUCAUUUUAAUCAUAUUUCAAAUAUGACUUUUAAGCAACUUAAAGAAGCUUCAAAAUUUUAGUAGAAAAUCAGUGAUGCAUGAAUUUUAAAUGUAUAAAUAUACAAAGUUUAUGUGUGUCCAUAUUGUGUAAAUAGGGUAUUUGAUAUGUACUAUAUAAAUAAGGUAUUACAGACAUUACUUAUUUGAAAUGAAAACCUUUCUGAUAUUGAUAUUUAUUACACUACAAGUUCUAUCAAUAAAAUGAUAGAACUGGAACAAGGCUUAUUAAUUUAUCCAACAUACAACUGCUCCUGCAAGAAUCCUAUUCAUCUUUUUCAAAGACAUUGGAACUUGAAAUAUAUAUGGUUUGAUAUGAUUCCUUAGAGUUUUUAAAGAUUUAAAAACGCCAAAAGAGACUUAUAUUUACUUUACUAUGACUAGCAGUAAUAUUCUAUUUGAACAGAAUUCAAGCUGGGGAUUUAGCUCAGCAGCAUAAGUACCUGCUUGGCAAGCAUGAGGUCAUGAGUUCAAUCCCCUACACCAAAAAAAAAAAAAAAAAGAAGAAGAAAAUAAAGAAUAAUUUUUAAAUCAGUAGUGUGACUAUUGGAGCUGUAGACAAACUCAAAAAAGGUCAGACUCCAAGACAGCAAGUUAUGUUGAGAAUGUCAAGUAAAUAGGGAUAAUGCUUCAGGUUAAUUUCUCUUUCUUAAAACUUUUUGUGGUACUAAGGAUUAAACCCAGAGCCUCUGGGUCCUAUUGCUCUUGAAUUACAAUGUCAAGCCUUUUUAUUAUUAUUAUUAUUAUUUGUCUUUUUUCCUUUUUAUCAGUACCAGGGAUCAAACUCACUACUGCCUGCUUGCGAGGCAGGCGCUUAUGCCACUGAGCUAAACCUCCAGCCCCCAAGCCUUUUUAUUUUUUAAGGUAGGAUCUCACUAAGCUGUCCAGGCCAUCCUCAAACUUGUGAUCCUGUUGCCUUGGCCUUGCAAAUAGCUGGGAUUGUAUGUGCCACCACAUAGGCCCCAUGCUAAUUACAAUAGCAUAUAAUGAGAUAGAUGAGCUCUCAGAAACCUAUAAAAAUAAUCACUUCAAUGAUUCUUUAAAGAUGAAAAGGAAUGUCAGUAAAAAUUUGGUUAACAAGUUAUAGCUAUAAAACAUAAUACUAAGAAAAAAUAGAAACAAUAAAAUUAUAUUUCUCUUUACUGACAAAAGAACUAUAACUACUAUAUACUGAACAUGUAUUAUUCAGUUCUAUAAGUUUUUAUAAUAUAAAAUUAUUUCUGCACAGUUUUACAUAGGACACAUGUAUAUCAAAAUGUUAAUCAUUCUAGCAGUAGUAUUUGAUGAACUUUUCUUGUUUUCUUUUCUGUGUAUUGUUGCUAUUCUGUUAAAUUUGGUGUACUGUUUUGUUUGUUUGGAGAAGCCUAACCUGUCCUUUUUACUAAACAAAACCACAUAAAGUUUUGUCUUUCAUUUUAAA